UACGUAGGGGGCAAGCGUUGUCCGGAUUUAUUGGGCGUAAAGAGCGUGUAGGCGGCCAGGUAGGUCCGUUGUGAAAACUCGAGGCUCAACCUCGAGACGCCGAUGGAAACCAUCUGGCUAGAGUCCGGAAGAGGAGAGUGGAAUUCCCGGUGUAGCGGUGAAAUGCGCAGAUAUCGGGAGGAACACCGGUGGCGAAGGCGGGUCUCUGGGCCGGAUACUGGACGCUGAGGAGCGAAAGCGUGGGGAGCGAACAGGAUUAGAUACCCCGUG
This 270-nucleotide ribosomal RNA is filed under the name uncultured bacterium. RNAcentral describes it as "partial 16S ribosomal RNA". It matches the Rfam family "Bacterial small subunit ribosomal RNA", at positions 524 to 791 of the family's 1533-position model. The record is from RNAcentral.